UAGAGUUUUGAUCUGGCUCAGGACGAACGCUGGCGGCGUGCUUAACACAUGCAAGUCGAACGGAAAGGCCCUUCGGGGUACUCGAGUGGCGAACGGGUGAGUAACACGUGGGUGAUCUGCCCUGCACUUUGGGAUAAGCCUGGGAAACUGGGUCUAAUACCGAAUAGGACCGCGCUCUUCAUGGGGUGUGGUGGAAAGCUUUUGCGGUGUGGGAUGGGCCCGCGGCCUAUCAGCUUGUUGGUGGGGUAAUGGCCUACCAAGGCGACGACGGGUAGCCGGCCUGAGAGGGUGACCGGCCACACUGGGACUGAGACACGGCCCAGACUCCUACGGGAGGCAGCAGUGGGGAAUAUUGCACAAUGGGCGCAAGCCUGAUGCAGCGACGCCGCGUGAGGGAUGACGGAAUUCGGGUUGUAAACCUCUUUCAAUAGGGACGAAGCGCAAGUGACGGUACCUAUAGAAGAAGGACCGGCCAACUACGUGCCAGCAGCCGCGGUAAUACGUAGGGUCCGAGCGUUGUCCGGAAUUACUGGGCGUAAAGAGCUCGUAGGUGGUUUGUCGCGUUGUUCGUGAAAACUCACAGCUUAACUGUGGGCGUGCGGGCGAUACGGGCAGACUAGAGUACUGCAGGGGAGACUGGAAUUCCUGGUGUAGCGGUGGAAUGCGCAGAUAUCAGGAGGAACACCGGUGGCGAAGGCGGGUCUCUGGGCAGUAACUGACGCUGAGGAGCGAAAGCGUGGGGAGCGAACAGGAUUAGAUACCCUGGUAGUCCACGCCGUAAACGGUGGGUACUAGGUGUGGGUUUCCUUCCUUGGGAUCCGUGCCGUAGCUAACGCAUUAAGUACCCCGCCUGGGGAGUACGGCCGCAAGGCUAAAACUCAAAGGAAUUGACGGGGGCCCGCACAAGCGGCGGAGCAUGUGGAUUAAUUCGAUGCAACGCG
This 941-nucleotide ribosomal RNA is filed under the name uncultured bacterium. Its description in RNAcentral is "bacterial SSU rRNA". It matches the Rfam family "Bacterial small subunit ribosomal RNA", at positions 1 to 963 of the family's 1533-position model. The record is from RNAcentral.